This is a long non-coding RNA of Globicephala melas (long-finned pilot whale), 1887 nucleotides long. RefSeq lists it as uncharacterized. The record is from RefSeq and is a predicted model, not a curated record. Lineage: Eukaryota; Metazoa; Chordata; Mammalia; Artiodactyla; Delphinidae.
AGGAGCAGUGUUUGCAGAGCUGGUUGAGAGCCUUGGAGGCUGGGCCGCCUGGGGCAGCUGGAGUUGAGGAAGAUGUAGCUGUUACCAGAGCCACUGAACAGAGCAGGGAGGGAGCAGGGAAGAAGCAGCCCCAGCUCCUUCUCUUCACACCCCUCAUCUACUGCUGGGCCGGCAGCCAGUUGCAAGAGAGCAGGCCAGUCAGGGCAGGCGCAGAGCAGAGGAGGUGGAGGACCAGAGCGGCCAGCACAGAAAACCGAAUCCCAGCUCUCCGGGCUACAGGUUCCUGUUGGAGGACACGGAUCAACAAACAGGCUUAUAUCCGAUUCUACUGGGAGCCGUUCUAUUCAUGAAGCAUCUUCUGUUUGCUCUCUAGACGGGGAACGGGCUGAGGAAGCUCCAGGAAACAGGGCUUUGUCAGCAGGGCCACAUCUUGGGGUGGACAGGACAGAAGACCACGACUCCAGACAGUUCAGGGAGGUGGCUGCCGUCUGCAGGAGCCGCUUUGGGAGAAGACAUCCGCCUUCGCCGUCUUCUGACAUUUUGUGCUGCACUGAUGCAGGAACAAAAAAGCCCAGCCCAAAAGCUGAAAACUAACCAUGAAGCUCAAGGAAAAGGACCCAGCAGAUAACAAAGAAAGCAACUUGGAGAAAAAGACAUUGGUCAGUCCUGGUCUCCCUGUGUCUCCCUUGUAGGAGUGUUCAGGUGACCCUGGGGCAGUCCCUCCUGGCACCCUACCUUCUCCCAGGGGAAGGGAUGUUGAGGGGAGGUCAGGCAGAGAAGGAGCAGAGGCUGGAAGCAAAGUUAUGCAGGAAGGACCCAUGUGAACUGUAAAUUGUAUACGGUGAGGCACAGGCUGUUGAUGGUGAUGUAUGCUGGUUGAUGGUGAUGUACUAUCUGUGGUGACCUUCCAGACUGUGUGUGUGGGGGUCUCCGUUCCAAACGUCAUUCCUCAGCAAGAGGACAUUGAUGUUGAAGGUGAUAAUGUCAUCAUCCUUAAGGAAACACUGAAACCCAACCCUCUGCAAGGCCCAGUCCAUAUGCCCCCUCCUCCAGGAAGUCCUCGGCACUUAGAAAGUCCCUCUCCUUCCUCAGGACUCCUUGGAUCCUCUCUUUAAACCAGAUUCAAAACCAGCAGCCAAACAGUGCCUGCUCUGUGCCAGACCUCACAUAGGUCUCUCGUUCCGUUCUCCUGGCUACACUGUAGUGGAGGCAUCACUAGCCCCAUUUUACAGGCGAGAAACUGAGGCUCAGAAAAGGCUGAAGCCAUGUGUCCAAGGCUACGUAGCUAGUUUAAGGUGCAGCUGAUCUCAAACACUGGCCCAUCUGGGCCUCGUGUCCCGUGAUGGGUGUGGAGGCAACCAGGACUCAGAAGAAGUUGUGUCCAUAUUUGUAAUAAACCUGUAUUUAGCAGGACAAAGAUCAAUACAAGUGUACGGACCAAAUUCCCUGGGGAGUGUGAAAUGGCAGCUAAGCAUCCCCUAUCACAUAGGUGUGAACUGGAGGUCCAGGGGGUCCAGACCACCUGUCUCAGGGGCCCCAGGGACCCUGAAGACCCAGGCUAAGCAGACAGAGAUUCCCUCCAAGUGGACACAGUAUCUUUUUCUUGGUGCUCAUAUUAGGUUGAGCCAAGGCUCCACUGUCUAGGCAUUGGGUGUGAGGAAGGAAGGGGUGAAGUCAUUGCAAACAUUCUGCUCGAAUGAUAUUCAGUAGAAAAUUCCCCUUUUUUCCUACUCUCUCUUUGGUAGAAAGUUUUCAUGUUAUCCAAGCCGACUUAAUAGUCUCAGGACUUCACCCAGGGGAGAGUUUGAGUUCAGUUCCAGAAGUAUCUACUGGGCCCCUUCCCUGAGCCGGGUGGGAAGAAGGCCCUGGGAAUUCAAAAAAGGCUUA